GCAGCGAGUAGAUUGCUUGCAAUCUACGUCGGCGACCGGCGCACGGGUGCGUAACGCGUAUGCAACCUACCCAUUACAGGGGGAUAACACUGAGAAAUCGGUACUAAUACCCCAUAACAUCCAGGGAGGCAUCUUCUUGGGUUGAAAACUCCGGUGGUAAUGGAUGGGCAUGCGUUGUAUUAGUUAGUUGGUGGGGUAACGGCUCACCAAGACGACGAUACAUAGGGGGACUGAGAGGUUAACCCCCCACAUUGGUACUGAGACACGGACCAGACUCCUACGGGAGGCAGCAGUGAGGAAUAUUGGUCAAUGGCCGCAGGGCUGAACCAGCCAAGUCGCGUGAGGGAUGACGGUCCUAUGGAUUGUAAACCUCUUUUGUCAGGGAGCAAAGGGCGCCACGUGUGGCGUUUUGCGAGUACCUGAAGAAAAAGCAUCGGCUAACUCCGUGCCAGCAGCCGCGGUAAUACGGAGGAUGCGAGCGUUAUCCGGAUUUAUUGGGUUUAAAGGGUGCGCAGGCGGAAUGUCAAGUCAGCGGUAAAAUUUCGGGGCUCAACCCCGUCGUGCCGUUGAAACUGGCGUUCUUGAGUGGGCGAGAAGUAUGCGGAAUGCGUGGUGUAGCGGUGAAAUGCAUAGAUAUCACGCAGAACUCCGAUUGCGAAGGCAGCAUACCGGCGCCCAACUGACGCUGAAGCACGAAAGCGUGGGUAUCGAACAGGAUUAGAUACCCUGGUAGUCCACGCAGUAAACGAUGAAUACUAGCUGUUCGGGGCAAAUGAGCCUUGAGUGGCACAGCGAAAGCGUUA
This 803-nucleotide ribosomal RNA is filed under the name uncultured bacterium. RNAcentral's name for it is "bacterial SSU rRNA". It matches the Rfam family "Bacterial small subunit ribosomal RNA", at positions 66 to 862 of the family's 1533-position model. The record is from RNAcentral.